RNAcentral lists this long non-coding RNA (239 nucleotides) under Elaeis guineensis (African oil palm). RNAcentral describes it as "long non-coding RNA (EGUI_LNC027032)". The record is from RNAcentral. Lineage: Eukaryota; Viridiplantae; Streptophyta; Magnoliopsida; Arecales; Arecaceae.
CUUUUUUAUCCUUUUGAAUACUUUUAUCUAAAUAAAAAAAAUAUAUAAAGGGUAUUAUUUUACCACAACUUCUUAAUGCGCAGUCGUAUAGUGAAAAAUAACAAUAGUUAUUAGAAUCUCACAAGAUUAACCACAAUGUAUAAAUAUCUUUUUUCUUAUCCUUUUGAAUAGAUUUACCUAAAUAAAAAAAUUAUAAGCACAUUAUUUUGCCACAACUUCUCAAUUAUAUGCAUAGUCAC